This is a long non-coding RNA of Chrysoperla carnea, 232 nucleotides long. RefSeq lists it as uncharacterized. The transcript is spliced from 3 exons. NCBI's taxonomy places the organism in Eukaryota, Metazoa, Arthropoda, Insecta, Neuroptera, Chrysopidae. The record is from RefSeq and is a predicted model, not a curated record.
ACACAUUAAUAACGAAGCGCUUAGAUGCAGCCAAACAGGAAAUACAGGCUGUAGAGUCAGAAUGUAUGAAAGUAAAAAACGCAGAGAAAAAUGAAAAUAAUUUGAAUAAUGUCAAUAUGGAAACCCAAUUGAAGGAAGUUGAGUCAAAAAAUGUCAUGAGAGAGGAGAUUGUACGUUCAGCAAAAAUUAAAGAUUUUUUAGUAAGGAAAAUUGGCCAAAUGAGAGAGGAGCU